CCUACGGGAGACAGCAGUAGGGAAUAUUGCUCAAUGGGGGAAACCCUGAAGCAGCAACGCCGCGUGGAGGAUGAAGGUUUUCGGAUUGUAAACUCCUUUUGUUAGAGAAGAAAAUGACGAUAUUUAACGAAUAAGCACCGGCUAACUCCGUCCCAGCAGCCGCGGUAAUACGGCGGGUGCAAGCGUUACUCGGAAUCACUGGGCGUAAAGUGCGCGUAGGCGGUAUAGCAAGUCAGAUGUGAAAUCCUAUGGCUUAACCAUAGAACUGCAUUUGAAACUGUUAUUCUAGAGUAUGGGAGAGGGAGGUAGAAUUCUAGGUGUAGGGGUAAAAUCCGUAGAGAUCAAGAGGAAUACUCGUUGCGAAGGCGACCUGCUAGAACAUGACUGACGCUGAUGCGCGAAAGCGUGGGGAGCAAACAGGAUUAGAUACCCUAGUAGUC
RNAcentral lists this ribosomal RNA (440 nucleotides) under uncultured bacterium. Its description in RNAcentral is "partial 16S ribosomal RNA". It matches the Rfam family "Bacterial small subunit ribosomal RNA", at positions 338 to 795 of the family's 1533-position model. The record is from RNAcentral.